GGGGGACCACCAGUGGCGAAGGGGUUUUUACCAGAACGGGUUCCGACGGUGAGGGAGGAAAGCUGGGGGCACGAACCGGAUUUAGAUACCCGGGUAGUCCUAGCCGUAAACGAUACUCGCUAGGUGUCGGCCACGGUGCGACCGUGGUCGGUGCCGUAGGGAAGCCGUGAAGCGAGCCACCUGGGAAGUACGGCCGCAAGGCUGAAACCUAAAGGAAUUGGCGGGGGAGCACUACAACGGGUGGAGCCUGCAGUUUAAUUGGAUUCAACGCCGGAAAUCUCACCGGGGGCGACAGCAAUAUGUAGGUCAAGCUAAAGACUUUACCAGAAUCGCUGAGAGGAGGUGCAUGGCCGUCGUCAGUUCGUACUGUGAAGCAUCCUGUUAAGUCAGGCAACGAGCGAGACCCGUGCCCACUGUUGCCAGCAUAUCCUUUGGGAUGAUGGGUACUCUGUGGGGACCGCCGAUGCUAAAUCGGAGGAAGGUGCGGGCUACGGUAGGUCAGUAUGCCCCGAAUCUCCCGGGCUACACGCGGGCUACAAUGACUGGGACAAUGGGCUCCUACCCCGAGAGGGGAUGGUAAUCUCAUAAACCCAGCCGUAGUUCGGAUCGAGGGCUGUAACCCGCCCUCGUGAAGCUGGAAUCCGUAGUAAUCGCGUUUCAACAUAGCGCGGUGAAUACGUCCCUGCUCCUUGCACACACUGCCCGUCAAACCACCCGAGUGAGGUAUGGGUGAGGGCAUGGACAAUGUGCUGUGUUCGAACCUAAAUUUUGCAAGGGGGGUUAAGUCGUAACAAGGUAACCAAGGGCGAAUUCCAGC
Molecule: ribosomal RNA, 817 nt
Filed under: uncultured archaeon
Lineage: Archaea
Description: bacterial SSU rRNA
Rfam family: Archaeal small subunit ribosomal RNA
Source: RNAcentral